UAGGGGUCCCGGCCUUCGCCGGGACGACGAUUGAACCGCAUACAGUCCGUUCAACGAGAAUCCAGCGCUAUCUCAACACCUUGAUAGCCAAUCAAAGCACGUAUCGCUGCAUAAGGCAAAGUCGUGACGAACUCCGCUGCAAAGGGCGAAGUGGUGACGGCAUGGUGGCCGCCGUUUCGUUCUCGAAAAUGCUCGGUCCGCCGCAGGCAUGCCACUGCAAAUUAGGAAUUCGAUAAUGUAUACCAAUCUCAGGUCAUCAGAGAGGGCCAUCGGUCCUCCGGCAUGAACCGUCCACCCGGGGAAGGUUAUCCCCACAAGCGAGGAGGUUGUGAUGAGAGUCGGAGACAUCCUGAACAGGAAGAGCACCCGUAUCGCCACCGUCCGCAUGAACGAAACCGUCGCCACCGCCGCGCGGCUGCUGCGCAACGACAAUGUCGGCGCGCUUGUCGUGAAGGACGUCUGCCGCACCGAAGGCAAUGUUGCCGUCGGCAUGUUCUCGGAACGCGAUGUCGUGCGCGCUGUCUCCGAGCACG
RNAcentral lists this unclassified non-coding RNA (533 nucleotides) under Hevea brasiliensis (rubber tree). Lineage: Eukaryota; Viridiplantae; Streptophyta; Magnoliopsida; Malpighiales; Euphorbiaceae. The record is from RNAcentral.